RNAcentral lists this ribosomal RNA (492 nucleotides) under uncultured bacterium. RNAcentral's name for it is "partial 16S ribosomal RNA". It matches the Rfam family "Bacterial small subunit ribosomal RNA", at positions 30 to 507 of the family's 1533-position model. The record is from RNAcentral.
AUUGAACGCUGGCGGCAUGCUUUACACAUGCAAGUCGAACGGUAACAGGCCUUCGGGUGCUGACGAGUGGCGAACGGGUGAGUAAUGCAUCGGAACGUGCCCAGAGGUGGGGGAUAACGCAGCGAAAGCUGUGCUAAUACCGCAUGUGAUCUGAGGAUGAAAGCGGGGGACCAAGCAGCAAUGUUUGGCCUCGCGCCUCUGGAGCGGCCGAUGUCAGAUUAGGUAGUUGGUGGGGUAAAGGCCUACCAAGCCGACGAUCUGUAGCUGGUCUGAGAGGACGACCAGCCUCACUGGGACUGAGACACGGCCCAGACUCCUACGGGAGGCAGCAGUGGGGAAUUUUGGACAAUGGGCGCAAGCCUGAUCCAGCAAUGCCGCGUGCGGGAAGAAGGCCUUCGGGUUGUAAACCGCUUUUGUACGGAACGAAAAGGCUCUGGCUAAUACCUGGGGCUGAUGACGGUACCGUAAGAAUAAGCACCGGCUAACUACGUG